AGGACGAACGCUGGCGGCGUGCUUAACACAUGCAAGUCGAGCGGUAAGGCCUUUCGGGGUACACGAGCGGCGAACGGGUGAGUAACACGUGGGUGAUCUGCCCUGCACUUCGGGAUAAGCCUGGGGAAACUGGGUCUAAUACCGGAUAUGACUUCAGGUUGCAUGACUUGGGGUGGAAAGAUUUAUCGGUGCAGGAUGGGCCCGCGGCCUAUCAGCUUGUUGGUGGGGUAAUGGCCUGCCAAGGCUUUGACGGGUAGCCGGCCUGAGAGGGUGACCGGCACACGUGGGACUGAGACACGGCCCAGACUCCGUACGGGAGCAGCAGGUAGGGGAAUAGUUGGACAAGUGGGCGAAGCCUGAUCCGAGCAACGCCGCGUGAGGAUGACGGCCGUUCGGGUUAGUAACCUCUUU
Molecule: ribosomal RNA, 411 nt
Filed under: uncultured soil bacterium
Lineage: Bacteria
Description: bacterial SSU rRNA
Rfam family: Bacterial small subunit ribosomal RNA
Source: RNAcentral